UGACAAACCGGAGGAAGGUGGGGAUGACGUCAAAUCAUCAUGCCCCUUAUGAUUUGGGCUACACACGUGCUACAAUGGACGGUACAAAGGGUCGCUAAACCGCGAGGUCAAGCAAAUCCCAUAAAGCCGUUCUCAGUUCGGAUUGUAGUCUGCAACUCGACUACAUGAAGCUGGAAUCGCUAGUAAUCGUAGAUCAGCAUGCUACG
RNAcentral lists this ribosomal RNA (206 nucleotides) under Staphylococcus massiliensis CCUG 55927. RNAcentral's name for it is "partial 16S ribosomal RNA". It matches the Rfam family "Bacterial small subunit ribosomal RNA", at positions 1156 to 1361 of the family's 1533-position model. The record is from RNAcentral. Lineage: Bacteria; Bacillati; Bacillota; Bacilli; Caryophanales; Staphylococcaceae.